This is a long non-coding RNA of Mesocricetus auratus (golden hamster), 500 nucleotides long. RefSeq lists it as uncharacterized. The record is from RefSeq and is a predicted model, not a curated record. The transcript has 2 exons. Lineage: Eukaryota; Metazoa; Chordata; Mammalia; Rodentia; Cricetidae.
GUCAGAGUGGGAGCUUGUCUCCAGGAGAGUUCACAGUUCUGACAACUUGUCACACAGGACACAGUGAAGCCGAGCUGAUGAUGCCCAUGGGCAGGGCCACACCUUGACCUGGACUGCGCAGUCGUGCCUCUUGCCUUCUAAAGGAACCUAUGUCAGGACCUGAAGACGGAUAUGGGGUGGGGAAACAGUGGACCUCUUUGUUCCUCUUCUAACAUGGCCACGGAAUCUACGCAUGCUACAGAGACACCUGUUCAUCUGCGUUUAUUAUUCACAAUAACCUGAAAAUGCAGCCAGCCUAGAUGUACACCCUCAGCCCCGGGAGAAGCAAGAUGCUAGGCUCCAUCCUGGAAGAACAAAAUAGUCUUUCCCAGACAAGGUAAGUGAACACUUUGACUUUUACCUUCCCUACAUGUAGAGAUGAGUAGAUAAAAUGUGAUACUUAUACACAAUGGAAUUUCCAUUCAGCUGUGAAAAAUUAAAUUGUGGCAUUUUCAGGAAAA